CCUACGGGAGGCUGCAGUGGGGAAUAUUGCACAAUGGGCGCAAGCCUGAUGCAGCCAUGCCGCGUGUGUGAAGAAGGCCUUCGGGUUGUAAAGCACUUUCAGCGGGGAGGAAGGCGUUAAGGUUAAUAACCUUGGCGAUUGACGUUACCCGCAGAAGAAGCACCGGCUAACUCCGUGCCAGCAGCCGCGGUAAUACGGGAGGGUGCAAGCGUUAAUCGGAAUUACUGGGCGUAAAGCGCACGCAGGCGGUCUGUCAAGUCGGAUGUGAAAUCCCCGGGCUCAACCUGGGAACUGCAUUCGAAACUGGCAGGCUAGAGUCUUGUAGAGGGGGGUAGAAUUCCAGGUGUAGCGGUGAAAUGCGUAGAGAUCUGGAGGAAUACCGGUGGCGAAGGCGGCCCCCUGGACAAAGACUGACGCUCAGGUGCGAAAGCGUGGGGAGCAAACCGGAUUAGAUACCCGAGUAGUC
RNAcentral lists this ribosomal RNA (466 nucleotides) under uncultured Klebsiella sp. RNAcentral describes it as "bacterial SSU rRNA". It matches the Rfam family "Bacterial small subunit ribosomal RNA", at positions 338 to 795 of the family's 1533-position model. The record is from RNAcentral. Lineage: Bacteria; Pseudomonadati; Pseudomonadota; Gammaproteobacteria; Enterobacterales; Enterobacteriaceae.